Pongo abelii (Sumatran orangutan) is the source of this 148-nucleotide unclassified non-coding RNA. It matches the Rfam family "Metazoan signal recognition particle RNA". From Rfam's summary of the family: The signal recognition particle (SRP) is a universally conserved ribonucleoprotein. The record is from Ensembl. NCBI's taxonomy places the organism in Eukaryota, Metazoa, Chordata, Mammalia, Primates, Hominidae.
GCCAGGCGUGGUGGCGAGCGCCUGUAAUUCCAGCUACUCGGAAGGCUAAGGCAGGAGAAUCGCUUGGAACCAGGAGAUGGAGGUUGCAGUGAGCUGAGAUCACGCCACUGCACUCCAGCCUGGUUGACAGAGCAAGACUCUGUCUUAA